RNAcentral lists this ribosomal RNA (964 nucleotides) under uncultured bacterium. RNAcentral's name for it is "bacterial SSU rRNA". It matches the Rfam family "Bacterial small subunit ribosomal RNA", at positions 1 to 916 of the family's 1533-position model. The record is from RNAcentral.
CAUACUUUGACCUUGAUUUCGCCAUCCUUGCCUGCCUGCAGGCCGACGAUUAGGGUUUGAUCCUGGAUCAGAUUGAACGCUGGCGGCAGGCCUAACACAUGCAAGUCGAGCGGAUGAAGAGAGCUUGCUCUCUGAUUCAGCGGCGGACGGGUGAGUAAUGCCUAGGAAUCUGCCUGGUAGUGGGGGACAACGUCUCGAAAGGGACGCUAAUACCGCAUACGUCCUACGGGAGAAAGCAGGGGACCUUCGGGCCUUGCGCUAUCAGAUGAGCCUAGGUCGGAUUAGCUAGUUGGUGAGGUAAUGGCUCACCAAGGCGACGAUCCGUAACUGGUCUGAGAGGAUGAUCAGUCACACUGGAACUGAGACACGGUCCAGACUCCUACGGGAGGCAGCAGUGGGGAAUAUUGGACAAUGGGCGAAAGCCUGAUCCAGCCAUGCCGCGUGUGUGAAGAAGGUCUUCGGAUUGUAAAGCACUUUAAGUUGGGAGGAAGGGUUGUAGAUUAAUACUCUGCAAUUUUGACGUUACCGACAGAAUAAGCACCGGCUAACUCUGUGCCAGCAGCCGCGGUAAUACAGAGGGUGCAAGCGUUAAUCGGAAUUACUGGGCGUAAAGCGCGCGUAGGUGGUUUGUUAAGUUGGAUGUGAAAUCCCCGGGCUCAACCUGGGAACUGCAUUCAAAACUGACAAGCUAGAGUAUGGUAGAGGGUGGUGGAAUUUCCUGUGUAGCGGUGAAAUGCGUAGAUAUAGGAAGGAACACCAGUGGCGAAGGCGACCACCUGGACUGAUACUGACACUGAGGUGCGAAAGCGUGGGGAGCAAACAGGAUUAGAUACCCUGGUAGUCCACGCCGUAAACGAUGUCAACUAGCCGUUGGGAGCCUUGAGCUCUUAGUGGCGCAGCUAACGCAUUAAGUUGACCGCCUGGGGAGUACGGCCGCAAGGUUAAAACUCAAAGGAAUUGACGG